AUACGGAGGAUCCGAGCGUUAUCCGGAUUUAUUGGGUUUAAAGGGUGCGCAGGCGGCCAUUUAAGUCAGCGGUUAAAUCGUGGGGCUCAACCCCAUUCUGCCGUUGAUACUGGGUGGCUUGAUUGCGGUCGAGGUUGGCGGAAUUCGUUGUGUAGCGGUGAAAUGCAUAGAUAUGACGAAGAACACCGAUUGCGUAGGCAGCUGACCAGACCGCAAAUGACGCUCAUGCACGAAAGUGCGGGGAUCGAACAGGAUUAGAUACCCUGGUAGUCCGCACAGUAAACGAUGAAUACUUGGUUUCGGCGAUAUAAUGUCGGAGGCAAAGCGAAAGCGAUAAGUAUUCCACCUGGGGAGUACGCCGGCAACGGUGAAACUCAAAUGAAUUGGCGGGG
This 392-nucleotide ribosomal RNA is filed under the name uncultured bacterium. RNAcentral's name for it is "partial 16S ribosomal RNA". It matches the Rfam family "Bacterial small subunit ribosomal RNA", at positions 523 to 918 of the family's 1533-position model. The record is from RNAcentral.